RNAcentral lists this long non-coding RNA (375 nucleotides) under Nicotiana tabacum (common tobacco). Its description in RNAcentral is "long non-coding RNA (NTAB_LNC002999)". Lineage: Eukaryota; Viridiplantae; Streptophyta; Magnoliopsida; Solanales; Solanaceae. The record is from RNAcentral.
AACAAUUGAACUUUUGGAAUUGGAUAGAUGGUGGAACUUUCUUUUGCCGUUGGUGAGUGCAGUCUGUUGUCUUACCAUUUUCUAUACCAUAAAGGAAAGACAUAGGAGUACAUCAAAGCCUUUAUAGGAAUACUGGAACAUAUUAUUAAUCUAUUAUAUGUGCAGGAAACUCGUUCUCACCAUUUCUCUUUUCGGUAACAUCUCUGCUCCGUUCCCUGAACAGUGUUAUCAAAGGCGAAAAGCGCAAAAAAGCUCUAAGGUCUAUUGGGGCUUUAAGCGCAAAGCGGAGAUAAAGCAUGGGCUUUAAUGAAAAAAGGCGCAACUAGAGAAAAAGUAAAAAUAUGUAUAUGUAAUCCAAAACCAAUAAUCAUAAGC